AACACAUGCAAGUCGAACGAGAAAGUGGAGCAAUCCAUGAGUAAAGUGGCGACCGGGUGAGUAACACGUGACUAACCUACCUUCGAGUGGGGGAUAACCUCGGGAAACCGAGGCUAAUACCGCAUAACAUCGCAAGAUCAAAGCAGCAAUGCGCUGGAAGAGGGGGUCGCGGCUGAUUAGCUAGUUGGCGGGGUAACGGCCCACCAAGGCGAAGAUCGGUAGCCGGCCUGAGAGGGCGCACGGCCACACUGGAACUGAAACACGGUCCAGACUCCUACGGGAGGCAGCAGUGGGGAAUUUUGCGCAAUGGGGGAAACCCUGACGCAGCAACGCCGCGUGGAGGAUGAAGCCCCUUGGGGCGUAAACUCCUUUCGACCAAGACGAUAAUGACGGUACUGGUGGAAGAAGCACCGGCUAACUCUGUGCCAGCAGCCGCGGUAAUACAGAGGGUGCGAGCGUUGUUCGGAAUUAUUGGGCGUAAAGGGCGCG
Molecule: ribosomal RNA, 489 nt
Filed under: uncultured bacterium
Lineage: Bacteria
Description: bacterial SSU rRNA
Rfam family: Bacterial small subunit ribosomal RNA
Source: RNAcentral